ACAAAGUCCUGCAGAGGGUGAGACUGGCCUGGUUCCCUGACUCCUGAGUCUCAGCUCUUGCUUCAUAUGGGGUAAGGGAGGGAACAUUUGAACACCUCCCUGGCUAAAACUCCUCAUGAAAUCUUCUACAUGGAUGGAUGACAUGCAGGAAGAAACAUAAGCCAUUUCUACUCAGAGUUCACCAUAUCACUAAGAAUGAUCAGAAUGAUUGUGAAGCACCGGAAAACUCCUAAACAUGAGAAAAAGAAGAUAAUUUAGAGUUUGUUUAUCAGAGCAUCCAGGUCUUAAUGACUGUCUCCCCCCGCCCUCCUCAACAGAAGUAACUGAAGCAAGGCACCUACAAACUCUGCCUCCCUGGCUCAGUAGCCAGUGCUGACCAGCCACAAUUUGAUCCAACUUUUGCUGUCAGAUUUGACGCUACAGUGGAAAGACAGACUCCACCACGCAGAUUCAGGCUCAGUGUGGACUUUGGCAGAGAAUUCUCAGAACCAGAGUGGUGGACAGUCAAUGAGGAAACAAUGCCUGGCAGAUUUCUCAUCUGAGAGGGGCUAGGAUGAAGGAAGGAUAUAAGAUCACUAAAGAUCCAUGAAAAUGUCUUUGAAGCAUUACUCCUUGCCCCGUCGCUUGCCUCCCGACCCAGUGGGUAAGAAGCACGCACAUUGCUCAGGGAGAG
This 673-nucleotide long non-coding RNA is filed under the name Pongo abelii (Sumatran orangutan). RNAcentral's name for it is "lncRNA (ENSPPYG00000039166.1)". The record is from RNAcentral. Lineage: Eukaryota; Metazoa; Chordata; Mammalia; Primates; Hominidae.